This 512-nucleotide ribosomal RNA is filed under the name uncultured bacterium. RNAcentral describes it as "bacterial SSU rRNA". The stretch from base 80 to 428 matches the Rfam family "Bacterial small subunit ribosomal RNA", at positions 46 to 392 of the family's 1533-position model. The record is from RNAcentral.
UCCUACACGACGGCGAGUUUAGCUAUCUUAGCUUUAGGCCGGUUGUUUUUAAGGUCUCACACUGGCCGUUCGUUUNACAGCUUAACACAUGCAGUCGAGCGGGGAAGGUUGCUUCGGUAACUGACCUACGGCGGACGGGUGAGUAAUGCUUAGGAAUCUGCCAUAGUGGGGGACAACAUUCCGAAAGGAAUGCUAAUACCGCAUACGUACCUACGGGAGAAAGCAGGGGAUCUUCGGACCUUGCGCUAAAUGAUGAGCCUAAGUCGGAUUAGCUAGUUGGUGGGGUAAAGGCCUACCAAGGCGACGAUCUAGUAGCGGGUCUAGAGAGGAUAGAUCCGCCACACUGGGACUAGAGACACGGCCCAGACUACCUACGGGAGGCAGCAGUGGGGAAUAUUGGACAAUGGAGCGGAAGCCUAGAUACCAGCCAUAGCCGCGUAGUAGUGAAGAAGGGCCUUAUAGGUUUAGUAAAGCACUUUUAAGCGAGGAAGGGGGCUACCAGUAUUAAUACU